CCAGACUCCUACGGGAGGCAGCAGUGGGGGAUAUUGGACAAUGGGGGGAACCCUGAUCCAGCGACGCCGCGUGAGUGAAGAAGUAUCUCGGUAUGUAAAGCUCUAUCAGCAGGGAAGAAAGAAAUGACGGUACCUGAGUAAGAAGCCCCGACUAACUACGUGCCAGCAGCCGCGGUAAUACGUAGGGGGCAAGCGUUAUCCGGAUUUACUGGGUGUAAAGGGAGCGUAGACGGCAGCACAAGUCUGAAGUGAAAUGCCGGGGCUUAACCCCGGAACUGCUUUGGAAACUGUAUGGCUAGAUUGCAGGAGAGGCAAGUGGAAUUCCUAGUGUAGCGGUGAAAUGCGUAGAUAUUAGGAGGAACACCAGUGGCGAAGGCGGCUUGCUGGACUGUAAAUGACGCUGAGGCUCGAAAGCGUGGGGAGCAAACAGGAUUAGAUACCCGAGUAGUA
RNAcentral lists this ribosomal RNA (450 nucleotides) under uncultured bacterium. Its description in RNAcentral is "bacterial SSU rRNA". It matches the Rfam family "Bacterial small subunit ribosomal RNA", at positions 331 to 795 of the family's 1533-position model. The record is from RNAcentral.